GAUGAAGAACGUAGCGAAAUGUGAUAAGUAAUGUGAAUUGCAGAAUUCAGUGAAUCAUCGAAUCUUUGAACGCACAUUGCGCCCGCCAGUAUUCUGGCGGGCAUGCCUGUUCGAGCUUCAUUUCAACCAUCAAGCCCCAGGCUUGUGUUGGAGCCCUGCGGCUGCCGCAGCCUCCCAAAACCAGUGGCGGGCUCGCUAUCACACCGAGUGCAGUAGUUUACUCUUCGCUCAGGGCGUGUGGCGGGUGCUAGCCGUAAAACCCCCAACUUCUCAAGGUUGACCUCGGAUCAGGUAGGAAUACCCGCUGAAUUUAAGCAUAUCAAUAAGCGGAGGA
This 334-nucleotide unclassified non-coding RNA is filed under the name soil metagenome. RNAcentral describes it as "partial contains 5.8S ribosomal RNA, internal transcribed spacer 2, and large subunit ribosomal RNA". The stretch from base 1 to 120 matches the Rfam family "5.8S ribosomal RNA", at positions 35 to 154 of the family's 154-position model. The record is from RNAcentral.